CUGAUAUAUAUAUUAGGAUUAUUAAAGUCUAACUGGUACUGUUCUAAUUGUGCUUGACCUUGUAGUGUCAUUUUAUACAUGUUUGGUUGAGUUGGACUCAUUUAAUUUCGUUUAAUUAAAAAAACAAAAUGUUUAUAGGACUGGAUUUGGGUGCAUGUGGCUGAUAUUUGGGUGUAUCUGACUGAUAUUUGGGUGUAUAUCUUUGAUAUUUGGGUGUAUUUUUUUAUAUAUUGACAGUAUCUCUUUUUUAUUGCAGUAAAAAUGGCAACCAAGAACCAAGCAAACCAAAGACUUGAAGUGUGCCACCAGAUUACUGAGUGAAAAAUUUGAAAAUAUGAGCGAGGCAAAGAAAGCGAUUGUUCGGGAAUUAGGUUUUGCUGGACUGAUGCACAUCCCGCCAUUAAGGGUGCAUCACAAACUAUUAAAGGAGUUGGCUAACUCCUUUAAAUUGGGGAAAAACACACUCGAAACAAGCUAUGGUUCCUUUAAAGUUAAACCCAGCACAAUAUGGGCUGCACUUGGCCUCAAUGCAUCAGGAGAUCUAUUUCCUGAGAAAGUCAGUUAUAAGGAACUUUCUGAAGAGAACAAACAAAUUUUUAGAAGAUUCCAGGGGAAGACUCUAAAGAAUCUGACCGAUGAGAUGAUGAGUAUUGGUGUUGAAAAUGAAUAAGAUCGCCUGAUGUUCAAGAGGAUUUUCAUCCUCUAUAUAUAGAUGGCGUUCUUGUUACCAACAACAAUAAACAAAAUCUCUCCUGUGCACCUAGCUCCAAUUUUUAAGAUGGACAAAUUACAAUCUGAAAAAGAAAAAAUCAAUCGAUGGCUGCCUCUUUGCCUUGAUGAUAGUCUAUUUCCAUAUGUCAAAAAACAAAGACAAGAAAGGAGAAAAAAGACCAGGACGACCCUGGGUUACCAACUGGAAUAGAGAGCAGUUGGUUGAAAGGAUGAGAGUAGAAAUAGAUGGACAUAUGGUAAGUGAAUAGAAUACCUUGGGUGUAUUUUAUUUACGUAGAUGAUGUAAACUAAUAUUUCUACUGUUUCAGGGAAUCAUAAAGAUGACAGAAACAAAAAAGAAAUUGAAACAAAUGAAGGAAAAAGAAAAGAAAGAAAAAAACAAAAAAAGUAGGCAAGUUCAUCAUCAUCUCAGAGUGAUACAUCUGAAACUGAAGUUGAUUCUUCCUCUGAGUCUGAGUCUGAAGAAGACUCAGAGGAACUAAAAAGGAAACAACCCACCAGAACGGUUAAAAAAAUGAAAUCCAAAAAAAGGAAGCAGAUUCAAGAGGAUUCCAAUUCAGAAACUAAAUCGAAUGAUAAGACGUAAUCCAAAAAGAGAAAGCCCAUUGUUGAGGAUUCGUCUCCUGAACAAACUCAAUUGUAUGAUGGAUCUGAAAUUGAAACUGAAGUAUUAGAAGAAUUCUUAAGGGAAUCAAAAAAGAAGAAAAACAAUGAAAAAGCUUCUGCAUAGGGGUUUGUUAUAUUUAGGGUGUAUAUUACCGAUUUUAAGGUGUUUUGGUUGCUGAUAAUUGUUUUUGGUUUUCCAAGAAGAAGGGAGUUGACCUGCGAUCGACAGAAGGUCACUAUGACUCAUCCAAAAUAAUGCCCGAGGUAAACUUAGGAAUUGAGAAUGAUCCUUUGUCUCAAGAACAAACAGAUCAAAGCAGCAUAAACAAACUGGCAGAUAGCAUGUUAAGUCUGGUAUAAGAAUUAGCCAAUGACCCAGCUCAACAGAACAUGAUGGUUGUGCAGACGGAGACACAUUCACAACCUGAAGCGCUUUCAAUAGUUUCGAUUCAAGUUUAUGUCCCACAAAGUCUCCGAGAGAGAAAAUUAGUGAAGAAAGAAUAGAAAGCACUCGACAACCCCCGAAAUCUGAUGAAAGUACACCCACAGUUCCACCAGCUCCAUCUAAAAUUAAUCCAGCCCUAGAAGACGCUGCUGCACUGAUGAUGAUGGCCCGGACAGCAUCCUACAUACCUAAAGAAGGUUUGAUGCCAUCAUUCAGCCUUGGCUUGAUUGAUUCAAGCCAAGAAGAAGCACCGACGCAAGAGGGGAAGAGGGCAAAAAGUCCUAAAACACCAAAACUAAUCGAACAAUUAGAGGAACUGGUGAAAAAAUUACAAACAGUGGGGUGAAGACAGCAUUGGAUUAUGCAAAAGGUAAAAGACCACCGAUUGAAAAGCAAAGUGGCGAAGAAAUUUUUGAAAAGUUUGAAACUCCUAUGAAGAUCAACAAGAUGUCGACUGAAAUGAAAGAGAAAUGCUACGUCUAGGCCACACGUGUGAAGACAUAUGGAGAUGGAAGCACUAAUGAGUAUGACCCCGUGUGCACACUCAAAGCCCAAGAUCGAUUCAUUUUGUCAAAAGUCCACUUUGCAUCUCUGAAAGCUGCUACACAUAUAGAAGCUGAGAUUGUCACUGCCAUGUGCCUCAUCCUUAACCAACAAAACAUUA
Molecule: non-coding RNA, 2447 nt
Organism: Arachis ipaensis
Lineage: Eukaryota; Viridiplantae; Streptophyta; Magnoliopsida; Fabales; Fabaceae
Source: RefSeq, a predicted model, not a curated record